AUUGAACGCUGGUGGCAGGCCUAACACAUGCCAGUCGAGCGGAUGAAGGGAGCUUGCUCCUGGAUUCAGCGGCGGACGGGUGAGUAAUGCCUAGGAAUCUGCCUGGUAGUGGGGGAUAACGUCCGGAAACGGGCGCUAAUACCGCAUACGUCCUGAGGGAGAAAGUGGGGGAUCUUCGGACCUCACGCUAUCAGAUGAGCCUAGGUCGGAUUAGCUAGUUGGUGGGGUAAAGGCCUACCAAGGCGACGAUCCGUAACUGGUCUGAGAGGAUGAUCAGUCACACUGGAACUGAGACACGGUCCAGACUCCUACGGGAGGCAGCAGUGGGGAAUAUUGGACAAUGGGCGAAAGCCUGAUCCAGCCAUGCCGCGUGUGUGAAGAAGGUCUUCGGAUUGUAAAGCACUUUAAGUUGGGAGGAAGGGCAGUAAGUUAAUACCUUGCUGUUUUGACGUUACCAACAGAAUAAGCACCGGCUAACUUCGUG
This 484-nucleotide ribosomal RNA is filed under the name uncultured bacterium. RNAcentral's name for it is "partial 16S ribosomal RNA". It matches the Rfam family "Bacterial small subunit ribosomal RNA", at positions 30 to 507 of the family's 1533-position model. The record is from RNAcentral.